GACGGAGGAGGCAAGCGUUAUCCGGAAUCAUUGGGCGUAAAGCGUCCGUAGGUGGCUUUGUAAGUCUGCGGUUAAAGCCUGGGGCCCAACCCCAGAUCAGCCGUGGAAACUGUGAGGCUAGAGUGCGGUAGGGGUAGCGGGAAUUCCCGGUGUAGCGGUGAAAUGCGUAGAUAUCGGGAAGAACACCAGCGGCGGAAGCGCGCUACUGGGCCUGCACUGACACUGAGGGACGAAAGCUAGGGGAGCGAAUGGG
Molecule: ribosomal RNA, 253 nt
Filed under: uncultured bacterium
Lineage: Bacteria
Description: partial 16S ribosomal RNA
Rfam family: Bacterial small subunit ribosomal RNA
Source: RNAcentral